Molecule: ribosomal RNA, 485 nt
Filed under: uncultured bacterium
Lineage: Bacteria
Description: partial 16S ribosomal RNA
Rfam family: Bacterial small subunit ribosomal RNA
Source: RNAcentral
UUGAACGCUGGCGGCAUGCCUUACACAUGCAAGUCGAACGGCAGCACGGAUGCUUGCACCUGGUGGCGAGUGGCGAACGGGUGAGUAAUACAUCGGAACAUGUCCUGUAGUGGGGGAUAGCCCGGCGAAAGCCGGAUUAAUACCGCAUACGAUCUACGGAUGAAAGCGGGGGACCUUCGGGCCUCGCGCUAUAGGGUUGGCCGAUGGCUGAUUAGCUAGUUGGUGGGGUAAAGGCCUACCAAGGCGACGAUCAGUAGCUGGUCUGAGAGGACGACCAGCCACACUGGGACUGAGACACGGCCCAGACUCCUACGGGAGGCAGCAGUGGGGAAUUUUGGACAAUGGGCGAAAGCCUGAUCCAGCAAUGCCGCGUGUGUGAAGAAGGCCUUCGGGUUGUAAAGCACUUUUGUCCGGAAAGAAAUCCUUGGCCCUAAUACGGUCGGGGGAUGACGGUACCGGAAGAAUAAGCACCGGCUAACUACGUG